RNAcentral lists this ribosomal RNA (256 nucleotides) under uncultured bacterium. RNAcentral's name for it is "partial 16S ribosomal RNA". It matches the Rfam family "Bacterial small subunit ribosomal RNA", at positions 524 to 777 of the family's 1533-position model. The record is from RNAcentral.
UACGGAGGAUCCAAGCGUUAUCCGGAAUCAUUGGGUUUUAAAGGGUCCGUAGGCGGUUUUAAUAAGUCAGUGGUGAAAGCCCAUCGCUCAACGGUGGAACGGCCAUUGAUACUGUUAAACUUGAAUUAUUAGGAAGUAACUAGAAUAUGUAGUGUAGCGGUGAAAUGCUUAGAGAUUACAUGGAAUACCAAUUGCGAAGGCAGGUUACUACUAAUGGAUUGACGCUGAUGGACGAAAGCGUGGGUAGCGAACAGGA